UAUAAAAUAUAUAAAUAUUUAUUGUAUUAUACAAUUUAAUGAAUAAUAAUUAUAUAGAUUUUUACAUUGGUGUGAGGUGGUUUUAACAGAUGUUUUUUUUACAGUAUAUAAUAAUAAUAAUACUUAUUAUUAUUAUCAUAUAAUCCCAAAUGUCCAAUGAGUUGAUGGAUCUUUCGGUCAUUAUAUCUUUAACUCAGUAUAUCGAUUUUCCGCUCAUUAUCUUCCAUUCACUCUCCCUGCAGAUGUGUGACAUCCGCUGCUCGCAUGAUGACGAACCUGUUGAAUCAUUCACCCCCGCUCAUUCAUAAAUGAUUCUUGACCAAGAGAAUUCCAGAAAAACAGACAGGUAGGAGAGAAAAGGAGCAUGAUGGAUGCUCUGUGUGCGAUUCAGAAGAGGGUUACAGCACUGCAGCGGUUCCUGUAACGGCAGUGGUCAGGCUAAACACCCCCAUCCAAUCCAUCAGCUUUCAUUCAUCCUUCACCCAUCCUUCCAUUCACACAAUCAAAGCAGUGGGGAGGGUGGGAUGGAGAGAGAGACACUGUGAUAGAGAGAGCAUCCGCUUCUGCAGAAAACACGGGGGGAAGGGGCGGAGGAGAAGGAGAGAGAGUAUCGUGCCAUCGGAGAAGAACGAAGAGCAUCAGAGAGAGAGAGAGAGGGCAGGGAGGAAGGUGCACUUCUCUCCGAUUGCAGCACUUUCUCUGUCAUAUUGUUAAGGUGUCUGUUCGACUCCAUCUCAUUCUGUCUCUCUUACACACACACUCACACAGCGAAAUUGUCUGUGAAAUCCAGCAGCAUCAUCGGGACAGACUCGUGGCAUCAGUGCAGCGCUGAUAUCAUCAGUCAACUGUGACAAUAAUAACAACCUGGACCAGGGAAGACACCACACAGGUAUGACCACAUGCACAGAUGCCCAUGUACACACACAUGUGCUCGUCAGGCAACAGAUAUCACAGAUUUAUGCUGUCGUAAUUGCUUCAGGCAACACAGAUCACAAUCAUGUUUUCACCUUUUUGUCCAUCUGUCAGGCAUCACGCUGGGGUCCGCAGAGUGCGCGGGCCGGCCAGAGGCCAUGAGGCUGGUCCAUAAUGCAGAGAAACAGUCUUUCUCCUUUAAGAAGUGCUCUGCCUUCCAGUUUGUCAAGAGGAAGGUGCGCAGGUGGAUGAGGAAUCCGAAGGUGAAUGUGGAGAAGGUCCAGGCUAAGGGCUUCUUGUCUCCAUGUCCGAAAUGUCAGGAGGGCCAGGACCUGUGGUACACACAUUUCCCAGCACCUUACGGCUGCUGCCACUACAGUCCUGGAGGAUACUGCCUCUCUCACCCCCCCAGCCCUCUCUGUCAGCCCUGUGCCCCAUGCACACCCUGCCAGCCGGACAAGAACAAGACAUGCAAGGUGAGGAAAUGGAAGAUGCUCAGUCGCCAUCACAAUGAUAAUAAGGUGAAGGAGGCAGAAUCAGAGGGGCAUGUGAUCUGCCCCUGGACGAUGUCACCCCUGCUGGGAAGCCCCGUACUGCAGGAAUGUUGCAUCUGCAACGGACCCUUCAUCACUUACGGGCAUGAGGAGGCAUGGCAACCACGUCAGCGCACAAAGGUCAGCACACAAACAAACGUCUCAUGCAAAAAUGUAUGAGUAGCAUUGUGUUAGACAACAAAAUUAUACCAUACAAUAUAAAGAAAUACAGCACAAAGCAAAUCAUAAAACAAUAUAUAAUUAGAUGCUUUCUGGUUGUCGAACAUGGUGAAACAUGCCAAAUUUAUUGAAAUUUGUACACAUUUUCCAUUCAUCUUAAUUCUUUCUGGUCUGAAUUUAAUUUUAUCCACUUAGCUGUUUACACAAGAUAAAAGAGCAGUGAGACACAUGGGCCGGGAAAGCUUAGCGUAGGUGCACGUGCAAAGAUGUUAAUACUAUCCCUCACAUAUUUCAGCAUUCUGUUAGCCAGCUCUGCAGGGAGUUUAUUAAAGAAGUGGAUUUGGGUAAUUGCUCUUUCUGUCGUUCUCUCUCUUUCAAGCUCUCUCUCAUUCUCUCUCACUUCAUACAGAAAGCUUUAGGUUUACGGUGCUAAACUGUAAGCCAGAUGUCAUAUGAUUUCAUUUUUUGCAAGCUGUAGAUUAAGACCAAUGUGACACUCCAUCUGAAAGUCACAAUUUCACUGUGAUGAGUGUGCAUGCAUGAUAAAACUGUUUGAAAGUGUUCCACUGACUCAUGUGACUCUGUAAAUCUAAAGCCCAUUAUUAAUAAAGUAAAGUCAUAAUUCUAAUAUUCA
Molecule: long non-coding RNA, 2259 nt
Organism: Cyprinus carpio (common carp)
Lineage: Eukaryota; Metazoa; Chordata; Actinopteri; Cypriniformes; Cyprinidae
Source: Ensembl